Molecule: ribosomal RNA, 436 nt
Filed under: uncultured bacterium
Lineage: Bacteria
Description: bacterial SSU rRNA
Rfam family: Bacterial small subunit ribosomal RNA
Source: RNAcentral
AACGCGAAGAACCUUACCUACUCUUGACAUCCAGAGAAGCCAGCGGAGACGCAGGUGUGCCUUCGGGAGCUCUGAGACAGGUGCUGCAUGGCUGUCGUCAGCUCGUGUUGUGAAAUGUUGGGUUAAGUCCCGCAACGAGCGCAACCCUUAUCCUUGUUUGCCAGCGAGUAAUGUCGGGAACUCCAGGGAGACUGCCGGUGACAAACCGGAGGAAGGUGGGGACGACGUCAAGUCAUCAUGGCCCUUACGUGUAGGGCUACACACGUGCUACAAUGGCAUAUACAGAGGGAAGCAAUACAGCGAUGUGGAGCGGACCCCUUAAAGUAUGUCGUAGUCCGGAUUGGAGUCUGCAACUCGACUCCAUGAAGUCGGAAUCGCUAGUAAUCGGAUAUCAGCCAUGAUCCGGUGAAUACGUUCCCGGGUCUUGUACACACCG